ACGUACACUCCUGCGGGAGGCAGCAGUGAGGAAUAUUGGACAAUGGGUGGAAGCCUGAUCCAGCCAUCCCGCGUGCAGGAAGACGGCCCUAUGGGUUGUAAACUGCUUUUAUCUGGGGAUAAACCUACUUACGUGUAAGUAGCUGAAGGUACCAGAAGAAUAAGCACCGGCUAACUCCGUGCCAGCAGCCGCGGUAAUACGGAGGGUGCAAGCGUUAUCCGGAUUUAUUGGGUUUAAAGGGUCCGUAGGCGGACUGAUAAGUCAGUGGUGAAAUCCGACAGCUUAACUGUCGAACUGCCAUUGAUACUGUUAGUCUUGAGUAAGGUUGAAGUGGCUGGAAUAAGUAGUGUAGCGGUGAAAUGCAUAGAUAUUACUUAGAACACCAAUUGCGAAGGCAGGUCACUAAGUCUUAACUGACGCUGAUGGACGAAAGCGUGGGGAGCGAACAGGAUUAGAAACCCGGGUAGUCCCA
Molecule: ribosomal RNA, 472 nt
Filed under: uncultured organism
Description: partial 16S ribosomal RNA
Rfam family: Bacterial small subunit ribosomal RNA
Source: RNAcentral